RNAcentral lists this ribosomal RNA (483 nucleotides) under Globigerinella siphonifera. RNAcentral's name for it is "partial 18S ribosomal RNA". It matches the Rfam family "Eukaryotic small subunit ribosomal RNA", at positions 1438 to 1772 of the family's 1831-position model. The record is from RNAcentral. RNAcentral also lists the same sequence under 1 other name. Lineage: Eukaryota; Foraminifera; Rotaliida; Globigerinidae.
AGGAAGAUUGCGGCAAUAACAGGUCUGUGAUGCCCUCAGAUGUCCCGGGCCGCACACGUGCUACAUUGAUUAGCGCAGUGCGCAUACUUUCAAUAUGAUACAUUAGAUUGGAUUGUUCUGUUGAGCUCCAUCUAAUACUAUCCGGCUUGAGAAGGCUGGGUAAUCAAUUGUAAGUGCUGGUUCCUCCUCCCGUUGAGCAUUUUAAUAAUGGCCUCUCUACAUCCCUAGCAAUAUGCCUAGUGCGAUUGUAGUUGAGCCUUGCCAUUUAUGCAAGUGUCAAUUCUCAGUGGGGACAGACAUUUGAUAAUUCUUUGUCUCGUUCUUAACUAGGAAUGCCUUGUACGGGUCUUGGUUCAACAGACCACCCGGAAUACGUCCCUGCCCUUUGUACACACCGCCCGUCGCUCUUACCGAUGAAUUUCCCUGUGAGUUUGAAGGACUGAUGGUUGCAAAAUCAUUGGAAAUUCUGUCAAACAGCGAGAU